Molecule: ribosomal RNA, 253 nt
Filed under: uncultured bacterium
Lineage: Bacteria
Description: partial 16S ribosomal RNA
Rfam family: Bacterial small subunit ribosomal RNA
Source: RNAcentral
UACGAAGGGGGCUAGCGUUGCUCGGAAUCACUGGGCGUAAAGGGUGCGUAGGCGGGUCUUUAAGUCAGGGGUGAAAUCCUGGAGCUCAACUCCAGAACUGCCUUUGAUACUGGUCGUCUCGAGGGAGGUAGGGGUGUGUGGAACUCACAGUGGAGCGGUGAAAUGCGUUGAUAUUGUGAGGAACGCCGGAGGCGAAAGCGACGCACUGGACCUCUUCUAACGCUGAGGCGCGAAAGCCAGGGGAGCAAACGGG